UUAAUGGAUCAGUAUUACAUGCCUUGUAGUUUCUUUUCUAUUGAUAAUUCCAUCAAGGCUGUUUCAUCCCUCAAGAUUUACAAGAAAGUACUAAGAAUAACAAUGUUGAAGAACGGUUUGGAAGCUGUUUUUAGCAAAAUCUUGUAUUGCUCAAUAAAUUUGGAGUUAUCUUCAAAAUAUCAAUAGAGGACCAGUGCAGACCAGUGUACACGACAUUUCCUGGCGAGAAGUUCGUCCGCGGACAAUUCGCCGCGACACUACUGGAAACUACUUGCAAGGUUCGAGCGUUUGGGUAGCUGUAUUACAGUUUCCUGCCAUGCUAGUUUUUGCACCCGAAGUCGACGUCGUAGCAAAACCGUUCUUGCUUCAGAUUGUGUUCUGCACCCGAAGUCGACAUCGCAAGAGAACCAUUCUUGCAUCAGAUUGUGUUCUGCACCCGAAGUCGACAUCGUAGCAGAACCGUUCUUGCAUCAGAUUGGAUAUUGCACCUGAGUCUGAUAUCGUAGAAGGACCAUUCUUGCAUCAGAUUGUCCGUCAUGGUAGAAUGACCAUUCUUGCAUCAGAUUGGAUAUUGCACCUGAGUUUGACAUCGUCGGGUGACCAUUUUUACAUCAGAUUGUGUUCUGCACUCGAAGUCGACAUCGUAGCAGAACCAUUCUUGCAUCAGAUUGGAUAUUGCACCUGAGUCUGUCAUGGUAGAAGGACCAUUCUUGCAUCAGAUUGGAUAUUGCACCUGAGUCUGACAUCGUAGGAUGACCAUUCUUGCGUCAGAUUGUGUUCUGCAUCCGAAGUCCACAUCGUAGCGGAACCAUUCUUGCAUCAGAUUCUAAGUGUUCUACACCCGAUGUCGACAUCAUAGCACAACCAUUCUUGCAUCAGAUUGUGUUCUGCACCCGAUGUCGUCAUCGUAGCAGAACCAUUCUUGCAUCAGAUUGUAAGUAAUUAAUUUCUUUAUCAUUUUCAUACAUAACUUUUAUGAAUAACUUAUGAAUUAGCGAGAAAAAAAUUACUUUUUGUGUUUCAAAGCACUGAUUUUGCUUGUUUUUGGAGUUUAGCACAUGAACGCGUCAUCCGCGUAAUAUCAGCGAGGUCCCUAAAGAUGUAAAAUUUAAUUCUUCAAGGCGUAAUAUUCUAAUGUCGUCGGCGAUGUACCUGUAGAACGUGUAUUGUUAGAUAAAUUGUACGUUUCGUACGUUGUUAUGUCGAUAACUUGUAACUGUCAUUUAGUCAUUCUGAAUAGUUUUUGGAUUAUAUAUAACGUGGAUUGUGUUUUAUUAAUUUUCGUUCAGGUGAGUGAGAUAGAAAUACCAGGAUAAGGUGAUAGCAGGUGAGUUAGAAUAAGAGAGCAAUACUCAAGUUUCAUGUUCAAUCCAUGUUCUUUAUAUGAUCUGCCGAAUUUUCUACACUUCGUUUAUGCUGUCAGUUCGACCUUAGCUUGCGCAAAACGCUGUGCGCUGCCAUUUGAAAUUUGAACAGUACCGCACCGGUCGCCGUGUGUCGUCGGCUUCAAGUGACAAUUCGCUAUACUACUCAGUACAUCUUGCGCCGGCCUAUGCACCGGCAUUUGUGGUGUGUGCACGUGUUCUCUUUCUUCUCCGCCACUGUUCGUCGCAACUGUUAGGAUUAGUUUAGUCAUCCAUUGCUAUCAACUACUGAACAAGUGAUUUAUUUCGAAUCGACUCGAGACUUAAGACACCACGUGCGCGUGUGGGCGUACGGAUUCCAAUUGGAUUUAUAGGCCAAAAUGGUAUUGUUAAUUGCAAAAAUAAUCCAAAGAGAGCGUUGUGGCUCGAUGGUACGUAGGAUAUGCCUUGGAUCGUACAUACGUUCGUUUUAUUAAAAAAGAAAGAAGAAUGUAUUGUUAAAUACAAUUAAUAAAACUCAAUUUAAAAUUAAAA
Molecule: long non-coding RNA, 1898 nt
Organism: Dalotia coriaria
Lineage: Eukaryota; Metazoa; Arthropoda; Insecta; Coleoptera; Staphylinidae
Exons: 14
Source: RefSeq, a predicted model, not a curated record